CAUCUCAGUACCCGUAGGAAGAGAAAAUAAGAAUGAUUCCGGGAGUAGUGGCGAGCGAAACUGGAUGAGCCUAAACCGUGUGCGUGUCAAGCGUGCUGGUGUUGCGUACAUGGUGUUGUGGGGUGUGUGUGUUCGGUUCAGCAUGACCGAGACGCUGAUGUGCUGCGUGUAGUCGAAGCUGGUGGGAAACAGUACCGGAGUGGGUGAGAGUCCCGUAGACGAAACGCGUGGCCCCGGUGUGACACGUGUCCCCGAGUAGCACGGAACUCGUGGAAUUCCGUGUGAAUCUGCCAGGACCACCUGGUAAGGCUAAAUACUUCCUGAUGACCGAUAGCGGAUCAGUACCGUGAGGGAAUGGUGAAAAGUACCCCCGGGAGGGGAGUGAAAGAGUACUGAAACCAUGUGCUUACAAUCCGUCAGAGCACCCGUGUUGGUGUGAUGGCGGUGCCUUUUGAAGAAUGAGCCCUGCGAGUUAGCGGUGCGUGGCGAGGUUAAACCCGUGUGGGGUAGCCGUAGCGAAAGCGAGUCCGAUAGGGCGGUCCAGUCGCGUGUCCUAGACCCGAAGCGGAGUGAUCUAGCCAUGGGCAGGGUGAAGCAGCAGUAAGAUGUUGUGGAGGCCCGCACCCACUUCAGUUGAAAAUGGAGGGGAUGACCUGUGGUUAGGGGUGAAAGGCCAAUCAAACUCUGUGAUAGCUGGUUCUCCCCGAAAUGCAUUUAGGUGCAGCGUUGCGUGGUUCUUGCCGGAGGUAGAGCUACUGGAUGGCUGAUGGGCCCCACCGGGUUACUGACGUCAACUAAACUCCGAAUGCCGGUAAGGUUCAGCGUGGCAGUGAGACAGUGGGGGAUAAGCUUCAUUGUCGAGAGGGAAACAGCCCAGACCAUCAACUAAGGCCCCUAAGCGUGUGCUGAGUGGGAAAGGAUGUUCAGUUGCGAAGACAACCAGGAGGUUGGCUUAGAAGCAGCCACCCUUGAAAGAGUGCGUAAUAGCUCACUGGUCAAGUGAUUGAGCGCCGAUAAUGUAGCGGGGCUAAGUACACCGCCGAAGUUGUGGCAGCAUCACGAUACUGUAAUGGUGUGGUGUUGGGUAGGGGAGCGUCGUGUCGCCAGUGAAGUCGCCGUGUGAACGAGUGGUGGAGGCGUCACGAGUGAGAAUGCAGGCAUGAGUAGCGAAAGACGGGUGAGAAACCCGUCCACCGGAUGACCAAGGGUUCCAGGGCUAGGCUAAUCCGCCCUGGGUAAGUCGGGACCUAAGGCGAGGCCGACAGGCGUAGUCGAUGGACAACCAGUUGAUAUUCUGGUACCGACACACAACCGACAAUACCAAAACACAUGAGACUAACUCCCCGGUCCACCCGUGGCGUCUUCGGAUGUCUGGUUGGUGGUCUGGUGAGGACCUGAGUGUGGAGUCGGUAAGCGUGAGGUGUGACGCAGAAAGGUAGCCAGGCCACGCGAUGGUAGUCGUGGUCUAAGGUCGUAGCAUGUGGGGGUAGGCAAAUCCGUCCCCACGCAUAGUGUGAGAGCUGAUGGGCGCCCCACAGUGGUGGGGUGAUCUGGUGAUCCUCUGCUGCCGAGAAAAGCAUCGACGUGAGGGUGUGUGUUGCCCGUACCCUAUAACCGACACAGGUGGUCAGGUAGAGAAUACUAAGGUGAUCGAGAGAAUCGUGGUUAAGGAACUCGGCAAAAUGCCCCCGUAACUUCGGGAGAAGGGGGGCCAUCCUGGUGAACAAUCCUUGCGGUUGGGAGCUGGUGGUGGUCGCAGAGGCCAGAGAGAAGCGACUGUUUAUUAAAAACACAGGUCCGUGCGAAGAUGUAAGUCGAUGUAUACGGACUGACGCCUGCCCGGUGCUGGAAGGUUAAGAGGACCCGUUAACCCUUGGGUGAAGCGGAGAAUUUAAGCCCCAGUAAACGGCGGUGGUAACUAUAACCAUCCUAAGGUAGCGAAAUUCCUUGUCGGGUAAGUUCCGACCUGCACGAAUGGCGUAACGACUUCUCUGCUGUCUCAACCACGAACUCGGCGAAAUUGCAUUACGAGUAAAGAUGCUCGUUACGCGCAGCAGGACGGAAAGACCCCGAGACCUUCACUAUAGUUUGGUAUUGGGCUUCGGUGUGGUUUGUGUAGGAUAGGUGGGAGAUGUUGAAGCCUGGUCGCCAGAUCGGGUGGAGUCGGCAAGUGAAAUACCACUCUGACCAUUCUGGAUUCCUUAACUUCGGACCCUGAUCGGGUUCAGGGACAGUGCCUGAUGGGUAGUUUAACUGGGGCGGUUGCCUCCUAAAGAGUAACGGAGGCGCCCAAAGGUUCCCUCAGCCUGGUUGGCAAUCAGGUGUCGAGUGUAAGUGCACAAGGGAGCUUGACUGUGAGACGGACGUGUCGAGCAGGAGCGAAAGCUGGGACUAGUGACCCGGCCAUGGCUUGUGGAAGCGUGGUCGCUCAACGGAUAAAAGGUACCUCGGGGAUAACAGGCUGAUCUUGCCCAAGAGUCCAUAUCGACGGCAUGGUUUGGCACCUCGAUGUCGGCUCGUCGCAUCCUGGGGCUGGAGUCGGUCCCAAGGGUUGGGCUGUUCGCCCAUUAAAGCGGUACGCGAGCUGGGUUUAGAACGUCGUGAGACAGUUCGGUCCCUAUCCGCUGCGUGCGUAGGAAAUUUGUGGAGGGCUGUCCUUAGUACGAGAGGACCGGGACGGACGAACCUCUGGUGUGCCAGUUGUACCGCCAGGUGCAUGGCUGGUUGGCUACGUUCGGGAAGGAUAACCGCUGAAAGCAUCUAAGCGGGAAGCCUGCUCCGAGAUGAGAUUUCCAUCCCUAUUGGGGGGAGGUGCCCAGGAGAACACUGGGUUGAUAGGCCGGGUAUGGAAGCACUGUGAGGUGUGGAGUUGACUGGUACUAAUACGCCGAUCACUCAUACAA
RNAcentral lists this ribosomal RNA (2903 nucleotides) under Brevibacterium casei. RNAcentral describes it as "23S ribosomal RNA". It matches the Rfam family "Bacterial large subunit ribosomal RNA". The record is from RNAcentral. Lineage: Bacteria; Bacillati; Actinomycetota; Actinomycetes; Micrococcales; Brevibacteriaceae.